RNAcentral lists this unclassified non-coding RNA (1735 nucleotides) under Nostocaceae cyanobacterium HA4198-MV1. RNAcentral describes it as "bacterial SSU rRNA". The record is from RNAcentral. Lineage: Bacteria; Bacillati; Cyanobacteriota; Cyanophyceae; Nostocales; Nostocaceae.
GGGGAAUUUUCCGCAAUGGGCGAAAGCCUGACGGAGCAAUACCGCGUGAGGGAGGAAGGCUCUUGGGUCGUAAACCUCUUUUCUCAAGGAAUAAGAAAGUGAAGGUACUUGAGGAAUAAGCAUCGGCUAACUCCGUGCCAGCAGCCGCGGUAAUACGGAGGAUGCAAGCGUUAUCCGGAAUGAUUGGGCGUAAAGGGUCCGCAGGUGGCAUUGUGUGUCUGCUGUUAAAGAGUUUGGCUUAACCAGAUAAAAGCAGUGGAAACUACAAAGCUAGAGUGCGUUCGGGGCAGAAGGAAUUCCUGGUGUAGCGGUGAAAUGCGUAGAGAUCAGGAAGAACACCGGUGGCGAAAGCGUUCUGCUAGGCCUGCACUGACACUGAGGGACGAAAGCUAGGGGAGCGAAUGGGAUUAGAUACCCCAGUAGUCCUAGCCGUAAACGAUGGAUACUAGGCGUGGCUUGUAUCGACCCGAGCCGUGCCGGAGCUAACGCGUUAAGUAUCCCGCCUGGGGAGUACGCACGCAAGUGUGAAACUCAAAGGAAUUGACGGGGGCCCGCACAAGCGGUGGAGUAUGUGGUUUAAUUCGAUGCAACGCGAAGAACCUUACCAAGACUUGACAUGUCGUGAAUUUCUCUGAAAGGAGAAAGUGCCUUAGGGAGCACGAACACAGGUGGUGCAUGGCUGUCGUCAGCUCGUGUCGUGAGAUGUUGGGUUAAGUCCCGCAACGAGCGCAACCCUCGUUUUUAGUUGCCAGCAUUAAGUUGGGCACUCUAGAGAGACUGCCGGUGACAAACCGGAGGAAGGUGGGGAUGACGUCAAGUCAGCAUGCCCCUUACGUCUUGGGCUACACACGUACUACAAUGCUACGGACAAAGGGCAGCUACACAGCGAUGUGAUGCAAAUCCAAGAAACCGUAGCUCAGUUCAGAUCGCAGGCUGCAACUCGCCUGCGUGAAGGAGGAAUCGCUAGUAAUUGCAGGUCAGCAUACUGCAGUGAAUUCGUUCCCGGGCCUUGUACACACCGCCCGUCACACCAUGGAAGCUGGCAACGCCCGAAGUCAUUACUCCAACCAUUCGUGGGGGAGGAUGCCUAAGGCAGUGCUGGUGACUGGGGUGAAGUCGUAACAAGGUAGCCGUACCGGAAGGUGUGGCUGGAUCACCUCCUUUUAGGGAGACCUACCCAACUUGAGAGCCGAAAGCAAAGAGCAAAUAAGUAUCAAGAUGGUCUACUCGAGGUCGGUCGCAGAAAUGUUGAGAAAAGCUUUCAAACUAUGAUUGGGUUCGUAUUGGGGCUAUUAGCUCAGGUGGUUAGAGCGCACCCCUGAUAAGGGUGAGGUCCCUGGUUCGAGUCCAGGAUGGCCCACCUGAAGCAAUGCAAAAUUAAAAAYUCAAAGUUCAAAAUUAAGAAAUUGUUUUUGAAUUUUGCAUUUUGAAUUUUGAAUUGUGUUGGGGGGUUUAGCUCAGUUGGUAGAGCGCCUGCUUUGCAAGCAGGAUGUCAGCGGUUCGAGUCCGCUAACCUCCACCUGGAAAAAAAAGAGAAUUCAGCACCUAACGCCCAAAGAAAAGGGAGAAGUUAGAAUGCUGGGUGAAGACCUAGCCAGAACCUUGAAAACUGCAUAAAAACGCGAAAAGCAGGCAGAAACAGACAUUCUAUAAGAAUGAAAGUGGAAGCAAAAAAGACCAAAGAAGUUGUGGUCAAGCGAAUAAGGGCUAAUGGUGGAUACCUAGGCACACAGAG